This 451-nucleotide ribosomal RNA is filed under the name Parascutigera sphinx. RNAcentral describes it as "partial 16S ribosomal RNA". It matches the Rfam family "Bacterial large subunit ribosomal RNA", at positions 1888 to 2577 of the family's 2925-position model. Lineage: Eukaryota; Metazoa; Arthropoda; Chilopoda; Scutigeromorpha; Scutigeridae. The record is from RNAcentral.
GGUUUUUGGUUAAAAUAUAAAAAAUUUGCCCUGCCCCAUGAAAACGUUGUGUUAAAUGGCCGCGGUAUUUUGACCGUGCGAAGGUAGCAUAAUCAUUAGUCUUUUAAUUGUGGACUGGAAUGAAUGGUUGGACGUAAUAACAUCUUUUUUAGUUUUAUGAGUUGAAUUUUACUUUUUAGUGAAGAGGCUAAAAUAAAACCAAAAGACAAGAAGACCCUAUCAAGUUUUAUUAUUUUAUAUUAUUUAUUAAAGGAUAAGUGAAAAUGAGAGAAUAAUUUUACUGGGGCGGUAAAUUGAUAACUAAUUAUGAUCCAAAAUUUUUGAUUGUUAGAUUAAAUUACUGUAGGGAUAACAGCGUAAUCUUAUUUAAGAGUUCAUAUCGACAAUAAGGGUUGCGACCUCGAUGUUGGAUUAGAAUUCCUUCUUGGAGCAGAAUCAAGAAUGGUGUCGU